RNAcentral lists this ribosomal RNA (406 nucleotides) under uncultured bacterium. RNAcentral's name for it is "partial 16S ribosomal RNA". It matches the Rfam family "Bacterial small subunit ribosomal RNA", at positions 30 to 526 of the family's 1533-position model. The record is from RNAcentral.
AUUGACCGCUGGCGGCAGGCUUAACCCAUGCAAGUCGAACGAGUGGCGGACGGGUGAGUAAUGCUUGGGAAUCUAGCUUAUGGAGGGGGAUAACUACGGGAAACUGUAGCUAAUACCGCAUACCAUAGGAUGAGCCCAAGUGGGAUUAGGUAGUUGGUGGGGUAAAGGCUCACCUAGGCGACGAUCUCUAGCUGGUCUGAGAGGAUGAUCAGCCACACUGGGACUGAGACACGGCCCAGACUCCUACGUGAGGCAGAAGUGGGGAAUAUUGCACAAUGGGCGCAAGCCUGAUGCAGCCAUGCCGCGUGUAUGAAGAAGGCCUUAGGGUGGUAAAGUACGUUCAGUCGGGAGGCGUUACCGACAGAAGAAGCACCGGCUAACUCCGUGCCAGCAGCCGCGGUAAUUC